This is a non-coding RNA of Triticum aestivum (bread wheat), 135 nucleotides long. NCBI's taxonomy places the organism in Eukaryota, Viridiplantae, Streptophyta, Magnoliopsida, Poales, Poaceae. The record is from Rfam.
GAAGUACUCCCUCCGUUCCGAAUUACUUGUCUUAGAUUUGUCUAGAUACGGAUGUAUUUAAUAUUAAAAUGAGUCUAGAUACAUCCGUAUUUAGACAAAUCCAAGACAACUAAUUUAGAACGGAGGGAGUAUACU